CCCAUCCUUCACCCUCAGGUUCCAAUUCAAAAUACAACAUGAAAAACCAUUUUAAAAACAGACAAUUAUUUUAAAAUGCUAUCACUAAAAACAGAACGGGUCCUGAAAAGAUAUAGAAAACUGGUUUCUGCCACAGAUAGCUUCCUUCUUCUGCCCCAUCCAGGUAGUGUAACCACUGUUCCUUUAACUUUGAACUUGCAAACUAUGCUUCCAACAGUGUCUCUCGGAACAUUCAGUGUCCUCACUAUUUUUUGUAUCCUGCUCCUUGUUUGUGAAGGGCAAUGAUCUCUUCUCUUACCUUCUCGAACCAUUCUCUUGACUUAACCAUAUUUCUAACAUUUCUAAAUUUGACACUCAGCAACCCCCUGGCCAGUUCAGGUAUUUCAUUGUUGCAGCUCAAGCACAACUAUUGAAGCCCUUGAUUAGUUGCAUCAGGUAUGCUUGAGACACCACUUGUGGUAUCUGUGCUGUUGUGAGGGAUUCUGUUCAGCGGGUUGAAUAAUAGUGAGACCAGGGAAGCCAGUAUAAGUUGCAUUUUCAGCUGAAUUUGGGGAAACCACUUGAAGCAUCCAUUAUGUUGAGCUAUUUCAAUUGUUUUUGUUUUGUUUGCUCAUUGCAAACAGCUGACAGUCUGUAAAUUUUGAUAAUAAACCUGAUUUGCUAGAGGGGUUUAAUAAUUUCGAUUGCAACUGUCUAUCCCAGGUCUCAAAGGCCACGAUAAGGAGGUGCAUCUUCAGUAUUUGCCGAAAACUGUAGAAUGAAGACUCCGGGCACAAUUCUGUGGGGCAGAAGUUCUAUAAUUUAGGAGCUGCCACAGAGAAUGCCUUCUCCUAGGUCACCAUCCCCUGAGCUUUGGAGGAUGGGGGAACUACCAAGAGGGGCCCCUCUGCUAAUCCUAACACCUGAGAGGGUCUGUAGGAAUGGAGGUUGUCUUUCAGAUAGGUGGGGACUGAGUCAUUUUAAGGAUUUAAACACCAAUGUGAGUACCUUGAAUUGAGCUCAGAAACAAACCAACAACCAACGCAGCUGUUUUAAAACAGGGAUUAUAUGGGAUCCAAAUUGUUGUGGGAAGUUUGGCAUCAAAAUGAACCACAGCUAGUAAUCUGGCCACUGCAUUUUGGACCAAUUGAAGUUUCCAAGUCAUCUUCAAGUGUAGCCCCAUGCAGAGCACAUAACAAUAAUGCAGUCUGGAAGGUACCAGAGCAUGGAGUGCAGUAGCCAAGUCAUUUCUGUCCAACAAGGGGCCUUAGCUGGAAAAAGGCACUCCCAGCUACCAUGGCCACCUGAGCCUUCAUUGGCAGUGUUGAGGCCAGGAGCACCCUCAAGCUGCACACAUGCUCCUUCCAGGGAAGCACAACCCUCUCUAGGACUGGCCAUCUCCUCAUCUCCCGGAUGCGAGAGUGCAGAAUAUAUAAGACCUUUGUUAUGUCUAAUCCCACCUAUUGAUGUCUGUUCUCUUCAUUUUCUCACUGCUACCUAGGACCACCCAGCCCAAAAGAUCUUACUUACACUGUGAAGUUACAGGCAUAUUGCUUUCAGUUUUGCAAGAUCUGAGGUUUGGUUUGAAGGUCUCAUAAGACUGUGGGAGAAAGGCAUGGCCCACACUUAUAUUUAGCUACAGGCAGGGCAAUCAGGCAGGCAAAUCUACCCCCACACUUGAAUAAAGGAGCAGACUGGCUGUUGGCUCUUUCAGUGAGUCAGGAAGGUAUUUUGGUGUCAUCCCUGACUGGCCAUAUGGCUGGCAUGUUUUUCACAUCCUGUGAGAUGUUCCGUCUUUUGGGUUGGCCUUUAACUGUGAUACGUCAACUGACUGGCUGUGGCCAUUUUGUUCAUGUCUUGCUUUCUUCUUGUGUCGUGUCUUUUUGCCAGAAGGUAGACAGCGGGAAAUACCGGUGGCAGCAUGAGUAUGGGAAGGUGCCCAGAAACAUCACCUUGGCUGACAAGGGUGCUAGCAGGACACUCGGAAGUCUGGAAGAACUGGAACAAGACUGAAGGAGGCCCAACGUGAUAAAAUCUACCUAACAAGAAGUUAUGUCUUCCUGCUAUGUGAACCUGUAACUUACAGUUGCAGUUUCUAGAGGGAGCCAAGUCAUGCCAGCAGGCCAUCUCAGUUAGUUGACCAGGCCAGCUGUGGGACUAAUCCAUGAAGAGCUAGCAUCCCACGCAAUCUCUCAUCAUAUCUGCCUUGAAGUUUAAAAAAUUGUAGUCCUCGUUCAACCCACUUACUUGUGUCUUGCCUCUUUAUUUCUGGCUCUGGGUGCUGUGCACUUUUCACCAGCUAGCCUGAAGACAGCAGUCUAUUUAUUUCAGAACACUGCAGAUGUACUCCAAGAGAUAAGCCAUCUGUCAGCUAUGACAGGCCACAUGAAAAUGUAUUAAGAAUAAAAUGGGCUUUAAUUUUUUUUCCUUGACUAAAUAUUGACAUCUAUCAUUACUAAAUGCACUUUUAAUAGCCCAGGACUUUUCUUGCCAUCCAGUAAUCUCAUUGAUUUUUGCUAUGCGCCUUAAACCAAAUUAGAAAGCAGAAGUCCAGGAACUUGUUAAAGAAGGCAGGAAAUAUUUCUUCUGGCUGAAGGUGCACUGAAUAUUCUCUAGGUUUGGCAUUCACUUUCAAAUUAGCAUAUUUGAAGCAGUCAGUUAAAUUACAGGCAGCGGGACGGGGGAUUAUUCACCUUGUUUUUAUGUUUUUCAGCACCUUUUAGAUUUUCUGUAUCUGCUUCAUGGCAUCACUUUCCUUCCUUUUCUUUGCUUUCUUUGCUCUUGGCCUCAUUGCCCAGAGAGCUGUUUAAUCCUAUUGUCUGUGAAGUCGCUUGGGAUUUUGUCCAUGAGUGUCUAUUACAACAUCAACCAGACGUAGCAUUAUGACACAGUCACGACAGAUAUAUCUACAUGAUGUCAUCAACCUAGUCACAUGGGUGACCUCAGCCCAUUGGAUCAAAUGGCA
Molecule: non-coding RNA, 2944 nt
Organism: Podarcis lilfordi (Lilford's wall lizard)
Lineage: Eukaryota; Metazoa; Chordata; Lepidosauria; Squamata; Lacertidae
Source: the annotation of a GenBank genome assembly